CGGUGAGCUAGACCGGGAGGUUGGGCGUCUCCUAUUCUCUCAAACCGCCCUUAUGGAGAGGUUGAAGCCCGGGGGGCGAUUUAUCCUCCCUGUGCUGGUCUGAAUCUUCAACUAUGAACUAUCGUCUCACCGGAUUUGUCGCCCUGGGAACCGGGUCAGGCCUUGGCGGGAGCAGCCCUAACCAAGGUGGACAAUGCUGGUGAGGUCGCGGUAGCGAGACGGGAAUCAGGUAGCCCGCACUUGGAUGAUGAUUCCACCUUCGGGCGUGCUCGCCA
RNAcentral lists this signal recognition particle RNA (275 nucleotides) under Candidatus Altarchaeales archaeon ex4484_96. RNAcentral describes it as "Candidatus Altiarchaeales archaeon ex4484_96 signal recognition particle sRNA". It matches the Rfam family "Archaeal signal recognition particle RNA". Lineage: Archaea; Nanobdellati; Candidatus Altarchaeota; Candidatus Altarchaeia; Candidatus Altarchaeales. The record is from RNAcentral.